RNAcentral lists this long non-coding RNA (894 nucleotides) under Salmo salar (Atlantic salmon). RNAcentral describes it as "lncRNA (ENSSSAG00000092563.1)". Lineage: Eukaryota; Metazoa; Chordata; Actinopteri; Salmoniformes; Salmonidae. The record is from RNAcentral.
GAAUGUGAAAUCUGAUAGAGGUUUUCAGAGUGUGUUUAGAGUGUUGGGAGUGCAUUGGGAGUGUUCUUCAAUCCAUAGCUAGAGGACUCCUGAUAUCUCCAGGAGUGAUAAUGGCAGCCUUGGGCUGGCCUUCUGGGCAAGGUGGGUCUUUGCACUAAUCUUGCAUACUCGAAUGCCUCUGCUACCCCGAAGCUAGAGAGGAAGUGAUAGUCACUUGCAACCUAACAUUACAGCUGCCAGAAACAAGAUGAAGCCAACAGAGCAGACAAAGCCAACAAGCAUCAUUCUUGGUUUCUUGGAUCUGAAUCAACUCGACCCCAGAAGAGAAAAAGAAGCUCAUGACCAAUCCAGAAACCAAUUAAUUUUGAAAGGUAACGUUAGGGAGAUACUUGCGGAGACAGUUUGAUUUUGAGGGAACCUGAGGCUGUGCAAGUUGUGGUUGUGCAAACCUUAACACUGAGAGUGCAACAACCCCCACAGACUCAGACUCAUCCCCCCUGCCCCACUACCAACCAAGCAAGAGUAUCUCCAGAAACAUCAGCGCAAAGGGUUUGGUGAGACCAUGGCCAAUAUACACUGAGUGUACGAAACACAUGCUCUUUCCAUGACAUAGACUGACCAGGACUAUGCCUCAGCACUACCUGGCCUGAUGACUCCUUGCUGUCCCCAGUCCAACUGGUCGUGCUGCUGCUCCAGUUUCAACUGUUCUGCCUGCAGCUAUGGAACCCUGACCUGUUCACCAGACGUGCUACCUUGUCCCAGACCUGCUGGUUUCAACCCUCUAGAGACAGCAGGAGCGGUAGAGUCUGUUAUUUCUGCCUGUUUGGCCCUGUCCAGUAAGCCAGUGACUCAGCCCCUGUAAUAGGGUUUGAGGCAGAGAAUCCCAGUGGAGAG